Syngnathoides biaculeatus (alligator pipefish) is the source of this 696-nucleotide long non-coding RNA. RefSeq lists it as uncharacterized. The record is from RefSeq and is a predicted model, not a curated record. The transcript is spliced from 3 exons. NCBI's taxonomy places the organism in Eukaryota, Metazoa, Chordata, Actinopteri, Syngnathiformes, Syngnathidae.
AGAUGAAUGACUUUUUUUUACGUCUUGUUAGUGACCUAAGGUUACAAGAAAUGGUCUUUAAUUACAACAUUUCCGGGAAAAUGCUGCACAAGUGGAAAUCGAAAGCGUGUGAGGCUCUUCUGCGACCGGCACGAAGAUAUUACUGUACUUUAUGUAAACGACGUCAGUCAUGUUGCAUCAUCUUUGAAGGGCCAGAAAAAAAUUACUUUUGCAAAAAAAAAAAAAAAAAAAAAAGAAAAAAAAGAGUACUUUUAAUAUCCCGAUUGUAAAUAAUUAAUCGAGAACUGUUUCCCCCAAAACUACUACAUUUUUGCGAGUUUAUGUGGUACAGAAAGUGGAUGAAUCUACACACAGCAGCUUCAGUGGAGAAUUUCUGUCACACCAUCCAUGCCUGUCAGGAGUCAGUGCAUUAGCGGCACCAGCUGCUCCCGAACAGCAUCCCGUUGUAUUUGCCAUUUCUUGCGCUGCCGUGGAGACGAACGACACCAGAUAAGGAGCGGAAAGUUACCAUCCCGGCCCAGGAUCAGACUGCGAGGGGGACCAGCCACUUCCACCAAGGACCCAUACAGAUAAAAACCCUGUGUUACCGGGCAGCCCUUGUCUUCUUCUUGGGUCAUCUUGUCAGAAGACACACGUCCCGUGUGCAGCAGAUGCCUUGAUAAGACCCGCACGUCUGUAUUGCACAUUCCUUUGUAA